Molecule: long non-coding RNA, 267 nt
Filed under: Coffea arabica (coffee)
Lineage: Eukaryota; Viridiplantae; Streptophyta; Magnoliopsida; Gentianales; Rubiaceae
Description: long non-coding RNA (CARA_LNC006334)
Source: RNAcentral
CUUUUUCCAGCUUUGCAAAGCGCUGAGGCUUCUCCUUCGUUCCUCCUGCCGGGGUCUUCCCUCUGCUUUUUCCGCUCCCCUGGUUCUUGCUCCUCGCUUCCUUUUUCAGACGAAAGCCUCUGACUUCCUUGUUUCUCCCUAGCCGGCCAUCCCCGAUUCUCCCUUUUUGUUUUCUGAUUUUUUUCAGCCCCAGUCUCCUCAUUUUUCUUUUUGCAUUUCUUAGCUCAUCCGUAGCUUCCUCAGCCGUCAUCCCCCUUUUCUUGCUUC